AUUGAACGCUGGCGGCAGGCUUAACACAUGCAAGUCGAGCGGGGGAAGGUAGCUUGCUACCGGACCUAGCGGCGGACGGGUGAGUAAUGCUUAGGAAUCUGCCUAUUAGCGGGGGACAACAUCUCGAAAGGGAUGCUAAUACCGCAUACGUCCUACGGGAGAAAGCAGGGGAUCUGUGGACCUUGCGCUGAUUGAUGAGCCUAAGUCGGAUUAGCUAGUUGGUGGGGUAAAGGCCUACCAAGGCGACGAUCUGUAGGGGGUCUGAGAGGAUGAUCCGCCACACUGGGACUGAGACACGGCCCAGACUCCUACGGGAGGCAGCAGUGGGGAAUAUUGGACAAUGGGGGGAACCCUGAUCCAGCCAUGCCGCGUGUGUGAAGAAGGCCUUAUGGUUGUAAAGCACUUUAAGCGAGGAGGAGGCUACUUUAGUUAAUACCUAGAGAUAGUGGACGUUACUCGCAGAAUAAGCACCGGCUAACUCUGUGCCAGCAGCCGCCGCGG
Molecule: ribosomal RNA, 501 nt
Filed under: uncultured bacterium
Lineage: Bacteria
Description: partial 16S ribosomal RNA
Rfam family: Bacterial small subunit ribosomal RNA
Source: RNAcentral